Sapajus apella (tufted capuchin) is the source of this 833-nucleotide long non-coding RNA. RefSeq lists it as uncharacterized. Lineage: Eukaryota; Metazoa; Chordata; Mammalia; Primates; Cebidae. The transcript has 4 exons. The record is from RefSeq and is a predicted model, not a curated record.
AGUUGCUGUUUCCAUUCCCAGAGAGCAGAGCUCAUGUUUGGGCUUGGAGGGUGUUUCCCACUCAAUAAACAAAGAGUGGCCGCAACAGGACUGGGGCAAAACAGUGAGGCAAAAGAGCACGGAAUUAGAUGUCCAGAGACCUGGGUCUUAAUUCCAUCCUGACAACUACUACUUGUACGACCUUGAGCAAGUCCUUUGCCUUUCUACUUAUAAAAUGAGGUCAAAUGAGCCCCAGAGAGCUGAAGCAACCUGGUCAAGGUCACCCGGGUCCUGGCUUUAGAUUGACAUCUCAGUGCCAACAUGCCACCUCCCACAGGCUCAAGAAUUUGUUUCCUGCCCCUGAACAGUAUUAAAGCCUGAGCCUCUGUGCAAAUAAGACCAGCUCUAACACCAAUACCACUCUCAUCUGUGCUACUUCAGGUUUUCUAAUUCCGGAAGGCCCUCCAGAGGUGUACAUGCAGGUCACGGGGGUCGUUAGAGUAUCCAUGGCACCAUCAGUCAGCCUAAAAGACCUUACGUUUACAUCCUUGAUGCAUAGCUUGAAGCCUGACAGGUAGUAAUCAUUCAGUGCUUGUUGAAUGAAUGAAUAAAUUGAUUUGAACUGCUCAAGAGCCCCCUACUAAUCAAUGAUUUGGUGUGGGCUAGAGCCUAAGUCUUUAAUUAUCCCAAGAAGCCUUUAAAUCUUCCAACUCUGCUAUUCCAGCAGUCAUUUUUCUUCCACUCUUUUGGGGGACGAUGGAAUUUUUUUUUGCCAAGAGAAGGUUCGAGGUACAGGAUAGCAAUGCAUUCCUUCUCACCCCACUGAAUCCCACUGAGACACUGGAAUUGCUAUC